AUGCUCACUUCAGCAGCACAUAUACUAAAAUUGGAACAAUACAGAGAAGAUUAAUAUGGCCCCUGCACAAGGAUGACAUGGAAGUAACUGUAGACACAUUUUUUU
Fukomys damarensis (Damara mole-rat) is the source of this 105-nucleotide small nuclear RNA. Lineage: Eukaryota; Metazoa; Chordata; Mammalia; Rodentia; Bathyergidae. The record is from Ensembl.